GAGGAUGUUGGGUUAAGUCCCGUAACGAGCGCAACCCUUGUCCUUAGUUACCAGCACGUUAUGGUGGGCACUCUAAGGAGACUGCCGGUGACAAACCGGAGGAAGGUGGGGAUGACGUCAAGUCAUCAUGGCCCUUACGGCCUGGGCUACACACGUGCUACAAUGGUCGGUACAAAGGGUUGCCAAGCCGCGAGGUGGAGCUAAUCCCAUAAAACCGAUCGUAGUCCGGAUCGCAGUCUGCAACUCGACUGCGUGAAGUCGGAAUCGCUAGUAAUCGUGAAUCAGAAUGUCACGGUGAAUACGUUCCCGGGCCUU
Molecule: ribosomal RNA, 315 nt
Filed under: uncultured Pseudomonas sp.
Lineage: Bacteria; Pseudomonadati; Pseudomonadota; Gammaproteobacteria; Pseudomonadales; Pseudomonadaceae
Description: bacterial SSU rRNA
Rfam family: Bacterial small subunit ribosomal RNA
Source: RNAcentral